CCCAAUGUGAACGUUACCAAACUGUUGCCUCGGCGGGAUCUCUGCCCCGGGUGCGUCGCAGCCCCGGACCAAGGCGCCCGCCGGAGGACCAACCAAAACUCUUAUUGUAUACCCCCUCGCGGGUUUUUUACUAUCUGAGCCAUCUCGGCGCCCCUCGUGGGCGUUUCGAAAAUGAAUCAAAACUUUCAACAACGGAUCUCUUGGUUCUGGCAUCGAUGAAGAACGCAGCGAAAUGCGAUAAGUAAUGUGAAUUGCAGAAUUCAGUGAAUCAUCGAAUCUUUGAACGCACAUUGCGCCCGCCAGUAUUCUGGCGGGCAUGCCUGUCCGAGCGUCAUUUCAACCCUCGAACCCCUCCGGGGGGUCGGCGUUGGGGAUCGGCCCUUUACGGGGCCGGCCCCGAAAUACAGUGGCGGUCUCGCCGCAGCCUCUCCUGCGCAGUAGUUUGCACACUCGCAUCGGGAGCGCGGCGCGUCCACAGCCGUUAAACACCCCAAACUUCUGAAAUGUUGACCUCGGAUCAGGUAGGAAUACCCGCUGAACUUAAGCAUAUCAAUAAGCGGAGGAA
This 565-nucleotide unclassified non-coding RNA is filed under the name Trichoderma virens. RNAcentral describes it as "sequence contains ITS1, 5.8S rRNA gene, ITS2". The stretch from base 181 to 334 matches the Rfam family "5.8S ribosomal RNA". The record is from RNAcentral. Lineage: Eukaryota; Fungi; Ascomycota; Sordariomycetes; Hypocreales; Hypocreaceae.